GUCUAUGGCCAUGCCACCCUGAACACGCUCAGUCUCCUCAGACCUCUGAAGCUAAGUGGGGUUUGGCCUGGAUUGUACUUGGAUGGGAGAAAAUCAGAGACAAAGAGG
This 108-nucleotide ribosomal RNA is filed under the name Erinaceus europaeus (western European hedgehog). Lineage: Eukaryota; Metazoa; Chordata; Mammalia; Eulipotyphla; Erinaceidae. The record is from RNAcentral.